This 773-nucleotide long non-coding RNA is filed under the name Struthio camelus australis. Its description in RNAcentral is "lncRNA (ENSSCUG00000007364.1)". Lineage: Eukaryota; Metazoa; Chordata; Aves; Struthioniformes; Struthionidae. The record is from RNAcentral.
UGCGCGCAGCUGUCACUGCCCGGCGCGGAGUCGAGCCUGGCUGCGGCUGGGCUGCUGACAGCUUUAGUUUCCAAGCGAUAAUCUGGCCUAAAGAAAACUUUACACGAGGGAAGACUUAUCCCAAGGGUAUUUCACUUAAAUGUCUUUUUUCCUUUUCUUUUUUUGUUUUGUUUUUUUUUUCCUCCUCCCACUCUCUCCCCUCCCCCCUCCCUUGUUCAGACAGGGCUGCGAUGACUCUCUCAAAUGAAGGGAAAGCAAUGAAGUUGCUUAGUUGUACAGUGCUAUAAAAUGUACUUGAGUGUCUUAUGUUCUGAUGCACAUGGGAGUUCAUAGGACAGAGGAGAAGGUUACAACUUUCAAAGAGCUGGCACUGGUGAAUUAACUUCUGUGCCAUCAGAGCAUUAACUUACUUACACUUGAAUCCAUGAGUAAUGGCACUGCUGCAAGGAGCCUUUGGGAGCUCUGGGGUGAGAGCGCUGCCUCCAAGAGCGACUCUCCGUUUGGAAACCUCUGCUCAAGGUGAAGGCCAGGCCGCCUUAGUUGGCGCUCAGAAGUCUUGCAUCGAGACGGAUUCCUCGAAGCAUCAUAAUCCAUCGUUCAGAGCCUGGGCACUGCGUUUUUACAGGUACAUCUUGAAUGAAAAUAUGUUUCUUUGUCCUGGGGUUGGUAAUAACAAGGGGUAAUUCCGGAAGGACUUUCCAUGGCUGCGUCUGCUGUCUUGGGAGGUACGUUCUGAUAAUAAAUCACUCUUUCUUGACCUUUACUAAUUUAUU